This is a long non-coding RNA of Etheostoma cragini (Arkansas darter), 88 nucleotides long. RefSeq lists it as uncharacterized. NCBI's taxonomy places the organism in Eukaryota, Metazoa, Chordata, Actinopteri, Perciformes, Percidae. The record is from RefSeq and is a predicted model, not a curated record. The transcript has 3 exons.
UACUACACCCAAAAAAAGUUACAAAAGGCCCCCAAAGCACUUCAAAAAUAUGCAACUCAACUGUAUAUUAGUGUGAACUUCUCCUUAA